RNAcentral lists this ribosomal RNA (502 nucleotides) under uncultured bacterium. Its description in RNAcentral is "partial 16S ribosomal RNA". It matches the Rfam family "Bacterial small subunit ribosomal RNA", at positions 899 to 1397 of the family's 1533-position model. The record is from RNAcentral.
ACUCAAAUGAAUUGACGGGGGCUCGCACAAGUGGUGGAGCAUGCGGUUUAAUUCGAUGCUACGCGAAAAACCUUACCAACCCUUGACAUGGCGAUUUUGGACCACAGAAAUGAGGUCCUUCGGUUCGGCCGGGUCGCACACAGGUGUUGCAUGGCUGUCGUCAGCUCGUGUCGUGAGAUGUUGGGUUAAGUCCCGCAACGAGCGCAACCCUCAUUCUUAUUUGCCAGCGGGUAAUGCCGGGAACUAUAAGGAAACUGCCGGUGAUAAGCCGGAGGAAGGUGGGGACGAUGUCAAGUCAUCAUGGCCCUUAUGGGUUGGGCUACACGCGUGCUACAAUGGUAACUACAGAGGGAAGCAAGACGGCAACGUGGAGCAAAUCCCUAAAAGUUAUCUCAGUUCGGAUUGUCCUCUGCAACUCGAGGGCAUGAAGUUGGAAUCACUAGUAAUCGCGGAUCAGCAUGCCGCGGUGAAUACGUUCUCGGGCCUUGUACACACCGCCCGU